CCUUCUAAUGUGCUUCUUUCAGUCACAUGAUGAUAUUUUUGCCACCCUUAACAUCUGAAGCAGUCAUCUAGAAGUCAGCAAAAGCAGGAAGGCAUAAGCCACUAUUUAAAGCAAGGACUUCCAUCUCAGCCUGAUACAGUGUAAACAAAUGACUGAUAUCUAAAUCCAAUAUCCUUAUUGUAUUUGGACACAAAAGGAGAAAAACAGGAAAGUCUUAAGGAAUUCAUAUAUUCAAUGGUGUUGCUGAUAAGUAUUGAAGAAUACCCUUCAGAUAGGGAAAAGAACUCAUUGCCUGCCCAGUGCCUGUCAGCAUAAGACAUCUGACUGCAAAUCUAAGAGGACAAUGAAGAGUUGGCAGGACCCUUCCGAGGAGUGGGAACAGCCACAUGCACUCCCAGAUCACUGUUUUAUUCACAGAGACUAAGGAAUCAGGGGAAGAGGGUGCUAACAGAACUGCAGAUUUUACUUGGUUAAUAUAAACCCAAAUCCAUCAGCAUUUAAUAGUACCCUCAUUCCUUUUGCUUACAAAGAUACAAAUUAUGACUAAUCCUCUCCGAAAGGUAUUUGUAAUCAUAUUGUUUUGUGUAUGCAAAAAAAAAAUUCUACUUAAUGUGUAUGGGGAAUUAAGUUUACAAAUUUGAAAAACAUGUAGAGAAAAAGUUAUAAUCCAACUAUUCUAUGUUGUCUCCUUUCACAAAGGCACUGGUGCUUAAACUUUUAAGGGAGUCUAGCAAUAAAAUACUUAGUGAC
This is a long non-coding RNA of Talpa occidentalis (Iberian mole), 750 nucleotides long. RefSeq lists it as uncharacterized. The record is from RefSeq and is a predicted model, not a curated record. The transcript is spliced from 3 exons. NCBI's taxonomy places the organism in Eukaryota, Metazoa, Chordata, Mammalia, Eulipotyphla, Talpidae.